Molecule: ribosomal RNA, 492 nt
Filed under: uncultured bacterium
Lineage: Bacteria
Description: partial 16S ribosomal RNA
Rfam family: Bacterial small subunit ribosomal RNA
Source: RNAcentral
AGUGAACGCUGGCGGUAUGCCUAACACAUGCAAGUCGAACGGCAGCACAGUAAGAGCUUGCUCUUACGGGUGGCGAGUGGCGGACGGGUGAGGAAUACAUCGGAAUCUACUUUUUGGUGGGGGAUAGCGUAGGGAAACUUACGCUAAUACCGCAUACGACCUACGGGUGAAAGCAGGGGAUCUUCGGACCUUGCGCGAUAGAAUGAGGCGAUGUCGGAUUAGCUAGUUGGCGGGGUAAAGGCCCACCAAGGCGACGAUCCGUAGCUGGUCUGAGAGGCUGAUCAGCCACACUGGAACUGAGCCACGGUCCAGACUCCUACGGGAGGCAGCAGUGGGGAAUAUUGGACAAUGGGCGCAAGCCUGAUCCAGCCAUACCGCGUGGGUGAAGAAGGCCUUCGGGUUGUAAAGCCCUUUUGUUGGGAAAGAAAAGCAGCAGGUUAAUACCCCGCUGUUCUGACGGUACCCAAAGAAUAAGCACCGGCUAACUUCGUG